Molecule: long non-coding RNA, 236 nt
Filed under: Nicotiana benthamiana
Lineage: Eukaryota; Viridiplantae; Streptophyta; Magnoliopsida; Solanales; Solanaceae
Description: long non-coding RNA (NBEN_LNC039248)
Source: RNAcentral
GGUAAAUCGUCCCAUCCAGUCCCCGUCCGCUACACAUGAAAUCAGCUAUACCUUCUCUUGGUUCAACUUUUCCUUUUAGUUUAUAUAUAGCAAAAUGAAAGGUAUCAGCUAAUGUUAAAUAUAAUAUACGUACUUUUUAAGACCUACAAAAGCAGUAGAAAUUUUGGGUAAUGAUAACUGAAUCUCUGAUCCUCCUGCUUGAAGCUAAAAGGAGCAAGACUCUCUAUGAACUGUAC